RNAcentral lists this non-coding RNA (45 nucleotides) under Schistosoma mansoni. Lineage: Eukaryota; Metazoa; Platyhelminthes; Trematoda; Strigeidida; Schistosomatidae. The record is from RNAcentral.
AUCCAGAUGCCAAGUCCUGAAUAGGAUGAAACGCGCGUCCUGGAU